UCCCUGGUAGUAUAUCGGUUAGUACACGCGCUUGUCAUUAUGUAUCUGGCUCAUGUCUCUUGAGCGCGCGAAAGCUGGGUUCGACUCCCAGCCAGGGAG
This is a non-coding RNA of Gymnopus androsaceus JB14, 99 nucleotides long. The record is from the annotation of a GenBank genome assembly. Lineage: Eukaryota; Fungi; Basidiomycota; Agaricomycetes; Agaricales; Omphalotaceae.